Molecule: long non-coding RNA, 800 nt
Organism: Prionailurus viverrinus (fishing cat)
Lineage: Eukaryota; Metazoa; Chordata; Mammalia; Carnivora; Felidae
Exons: 7
Source: RefSeq, a predicted model, not a curated record
CGCAACACGCAGCUUAGGCUUUUUUUUUCUUCCCCAGCGACGCGCGAGCGGAAGAUGUCUAGGCGCGCGCUGUUGCCAUGGUAAUUCGUACCCGCCUCUACGCUUGUGAGCUCUUUUAUGGCCUCUUUCUCCAGGAAACUGAGGCCUGCAGACGUUAAAUAAUAAGAAGUAAAAAGCCGGGUAUGUUGAACUUCAGAGCAUAUGAACUGCCUCCCCACUGUUCGCUGGAUUGUUCUUAGAGUGGAAUAUGACCGUUCAUUUCUGGAGGCUGGGAAGUCCAAGAUCAAGGAUGUCAGCAGAUUAGAUGUCUAGUGAGACUAGUUUCCUGGUUCACAUAUAGCCAUCUUCUCUCUGUGUCUUCACAUGGUGGAAAGAUUUGUGGUACAAGAAGUGCUAAAGGAAGUCUUUCAACAAGAAAAUGAUACCAGAUAAAAUUGUGCAUCUACACAAAAGAAUAAAGGCACAGGAAAUGCCAAUUGCAUAGAUUCUACUUUGUAGAACUUUUAAAAAAGGUCUUGGAGAAGCUCAAGAGUUUCAGAAAGAAUUCCAAGUGGCUUACAGGAAAUGCUACAAUGAGAUAAAUAAAAUACAAACAUGAAUGGAAAAGAGAGAGGAAAAGAAGAUGAAGUACAAGGAAAAGCUGUAAUGCACAUAGAAUAAUCUACAUAUAAAUUUAAGGUUCAGAUUUGAAGAGUCUCUUUGAAAGUGGGAGAGGACAGAUCUUACAUAGACUUUUCAGCUAUGGGAGAAUUAUUUGAAACGCUAACCCUUCUCCCCAAAAUAAAACUCUUGUCAUUUUU